Gigantopelta aegis is the source of this 1055-nucleotide long non-coding RNA. RefSeq lists it as uncharacterized. The record is from RefSeq and is a predicted model, not a curated record. NCBI's taxonomy places the organism in Eukaryota, Metazoa, Mollusca, Gastropoda, Neomphalida, Peltospiridae. The transcript has 2 exons.
CAGAGGGGGGGGGGGGGGGGAAUUACAUUAAAAAUCUGAAAAAAUUCACAAGAUUUUAAACUGUAUUAGGGUCCUUACAAGUUGCUCAGAUUGCAUCUGAGGGUCUGCAUUAAAAAAAAUCCUGGCCCCCAGACUCGGACACCUGCCACAUCCGCCUUUUGCUGCCAAAUCCUGUGGGGAAAAACUUGCCACCACUCAAGAAAUCCUGGGCAGAACCCUGAGUUAGAUCAGUAAAAUAAUCUGGAUGGAAUCAAUAGGAGGCAAGAGAAAGGUGUGUGUUACGGGAAGGCUACGGGGUGGGGGUUACAUUCAUAUACAGUACAACCUGUGUUAAUGACAAAGGGAUAUUUAGCAUGUGACCCUUAAGACAGGUGGCCGCUUAUUACAGGUCAGUUUAUCCAAUAAUAGAUUUGGGAGAAUACAAUGGCCACAUAAAACAGGUAGCUGUAUAAUACAGGUAGUAGAUGGAGCAGGUUUGACUGUAAUAAACAUGUAAUUGCUUAAUAUUAUAGCAUGUGAAUUUAUAGGUGAUCCAAAUUGUAUGGUAAUAUAUGUUUAAAUCCCAUUGGACUAAAUUUAAAGGUUGUAAUGAAGAUAAGAGGGCUUUUUUUUUAUAUCAAAAACAUUAAUUAACAAAGAUUUCGAAAUUCAACAAUUCAUGUAACCAGGUAAGGUAACAAAUAUGUUUGACAAAGAUAACUAAUCUACAUUCCAAAAAUAUGCGAAACUAAACCUUCCAGUGGUAUCUGCUACUUACGCCGUGGAUUCUGCCAGUGAUACUGAAUACCAUGUGAAGGUAAACAAUGAAGUUAAACAAAAGAGCUUCGAAUAUGGACUUGGCAAAAAUAAUCUGGAUAUAUCACACUUGAAAGAAGGAUAUUAACAUAAGGAAAAGCCCAGUGUUGAGAAGAUGUCUUCCAGUGAGGGUGAAGAUGAUUAUUUCAAGGUUGAAGUACCAGAUUGUUAGCAAAUGUUUGACAUCCAAUAGCCGAUAAUGAAUAAAUCAAUGUGAGCUAGUGGUAUUGUUAAACAAAAUAAACUUAUUAUUGUUUGGA